RNAcentral lists this ribosomal RNA (274 nucleotides) under uncultured bacterium. Its description in RNAcentral is "partial 16S ribosomal RNA". It matches the Rfam family "Bacterial small subunit ribosomal RNA", at positions 523 to 796 of the family's 1533-position model. The record is from RNAcentral.
AUACGGAGGGUGCAAGCGUUACUCGGAAUCACUGGGCGUAAAGCGCGCGCAGGCGGAUUGGCAAGUUGGAUGUGAAAGCCUGCGGCUCAACCGCAGAACUGCAUCCAAAACUGUCAGUCUAGAGUCUGGGAGAGGUAGCUGGAAUUAGUGGUGUAGGGGUAAAAUCCGUAGAGAUCACUAGGAAUACCGAAAGCGAAGGCGAGCUACUGGAACAGUACUGACGCUGAGGCGCGAAAGCGUGGGGAGCAAACAGGAUUAGAAACCCGUGUAGUCC